AUUGAACGCUGGCGGCAGGCCUAACACAUGCAAGUCGAGCGGAUGAAGGGAGCUUGCUCCUGGAUUCAGCGGCGGACGGGUGAGUAAUGCCUAGGAAUCUGCCUGGUAGUGGGGGAUAACGUUCGGAAACGGGCGCUAAUACCGCAUACGUCCUGAGGGAGAAAGUGGGGGAUCUUCGGACCUCACGCUAUCAGAUGAGCCUAGGUCGGAUUAGCUAGUUGGUGGGGUAAAGGCCUACCAAGGCGACGAUCCGUAACUGGUCUGAGAGGAUGAUCAGUCACACUGGAACUGAGACACGGUCCAGACUCCUACGGGAGGCAGCAGUGGGGAAUAUUGGACAAUGGGCGAAAGCCUGAUCCAGCCAUGCCGCGUGUGUGAAGAAGGUCUUCGGAUUGUAAAGCACUUUAAGUUGGGAGGAAGGGCAGUAAGUUAAUACCUUGCUGUUUUGACGUUACCAACAGAAUAAGCACCGGCUAACUUCGUG
RNAcentral lists this ribosomal RNA (484 nucleotides) under uncultured bacterium. Its description in RNAcentral is "partial 16S ribosomal RNA". It matches the Rfam family "Bacterial small subunit ribosomal RNA", at positions 30 to 507 of the family's 1533-position model. The record is from RNAcentral.